This 467-nucleotide ribosomal RNA is filed under the name uncultured bacterium. Its description in RNAcentral is "partial 16S ribosomal RNA". It matches the Rfam family "Bacterial small subunit ribosomal RNA", at positions 28 to 506 of the family's 1533-position model. The record is from RNAcentral.
GACGAACGCUGGCGGCGUGCUUAACACAUGCAAGUCGAACGGAAAGGCCCUGCUUUUGUGGGGUGCUCGAGUGGCGAACGGGUGAGUAACACGUGAGUAACCUGCCCUUGACUUUGGGAUAACUUCAGGAAACUGGGGCUAAUACCGGAUAGGAGCUCCUGCUGCAUGGUGGGGGUUGGAAAGUUUCGGCGGUUGGGGAUGGACUCGCGGCUUAUCAGCUUGUUGGUGGGGUAGUGGCUUACCAAGGCUUUGACGGGUAGCCGGCCUGAGAGGGUGACCGGCCAAAUUGGGGAAGAGAGAAGGCCCAGAGUCCGAGGGGGGGGAGGAGGGGGGAAGAGUGAAAAAGGGGGGGAAGGCGGAUGCAGCAAGCCCGGGUGGGGGAGGGGGGCCUUGGGGGUGGAAACCGCUUUCGCCGGGGAAGAAGGGGGGGGGAGGGUAAGGGGUAAAGAAGCACGGGAUAACUAAGG